RNAcentral lists this non-coding RNA (961 nucleotides) under Acanthaphritis unoorum. Its description in RNAcentral is "12S ribosomal RNA". It matches the Rfam family "Bacterial small subunit ribosomal RNA". Lineage: Eukaryota; Metazoa; Chordata; Actinopteri; Pempheriformes; Percophidae. The record is from RNAcentral.
CAAAAGCUUGGUCCUCGCUUUCCUAUCAGCUGCGACUAAUAUUACACAUGCAAGUAUCCGCACACCAGUGAGAAUGCCCUAACAGUCAACUGAAUGAAGACAAGGAGCAGGCAUCAGGCACAUAAGUUAUUACUUACUAGCCCACGACACCUUGCUAAUGCCACACCCCCACGGGUAUACAGCAGUGAUUUAUUUUAAGCUAUGAGUGUAAACUUGACUUAGAUAAAGCCAACAAGGCCGGUCAAUCUCGUGCCAGCCACCGCGGUUACACGGAAGGCCUAAGUUGAUAGAUUUCGGCGUAAAGAGUGGUUAAGAAUUUUAUAAAAGUAAAGUAGAACCCUUUCAAAGCAGUUAUACGCAUUUGAAUUGUGAACCCCAUCAACGAAAGUGGCUUUAUACCUCUGAUUCCACGAAAGCUAAGAAACAAACUGGGAUUAGAUACCCCACUAUGCUUAGCCUCAAACAUUGAUAGUACACCACAUAUACUAUCCGCCCGGUUACUACGAGCAUUAGCUUAAAACCCAAAGGAUUUGGCGGUGCUUUAUACCCCCCUAGAGGAGCCUGUCCUAAAAUCGAUAACCCUCGUUUAACCUCACCCCUUCUAGUUCAUUUUCCGCCUGUAUACCUCCGUCGUAAGCUUACCCUGUGAAGGACUAAUAGUAAGCUCAACUGGUAACGCCCAAAACGUCAGGUCAAGGUGCAGCGUAUGAAGGGGGCAGAGAUGGGCUACAUUUUCUAUUAUAGAACAUACGAAUAACUCAUUGAAACAUGCUGUUUGAAGGAGGAUUUAGCAGUAAGUAAAAACUAGAGAGUUUUACUGAAGACGGCAAUGAAGCGCGCACACACCGCCCGUCAUUCCCACCUUUAAAGUAGAACUUAAAUAACUAAAAAAUUAAUACGACACCAGGUGGGGUAAGUCGUAACAUGGUAAGUGUACCGGAAGGUGCCCUUGGGUAAACAA